Molecule: long non-coding RNA, 217 nt
Filed under: Elaeis guineensis (African oil palm)
Lineage: Eukaryota; Viridiplantae; Streptophyta; Magnoliopsida; Arecales; Arecaceae
Description: long non-coding RNA (EGUI_LNC005807)
Source: RNAcentral
GCUUUUCUCAUUCUACCUUUCAAAUCUUUCCUUUGCUUAUUGAACUUUAUUUUCAAAGAGUUUCAAAUCUUUUCUUGAGCAAUUUAAUGUGUAGAUCGAGUCAUUUUGCUCCACAUGGAUCAUGACAUUUGGAGCUAGAUUCUCUGCAUGAGAGAAGAUUUCAUGCUGAAUUUGAGCUGGUGAUAUUUUAAGGAAUUUGGUGGAGCAUGAGGACCAU